Molecule: ribosomal RNA, 582 nt
Filed under: uncultured bacterium
Lineage: Bacteria
Description: partial 16S ribosomal RNA
Rfam family: Bacterial small subunit ribosomal RNA
Source: RNAcentral
UGGGGAAUUUUGGACAAUGGGCGAAAGCCUGAUCCAGCAAUGCCGCGUGUGUGAAGAAGGCCUUCGGGUUGUAAAGCACUUUUGUCCGGAAAGAAAUCCUUGGCUCUAAUACAGUCGGGGGAUGACGGUACCGGAAGAAUAAGCACCGGCUAACUACGUGCCAGCAGCCGCGGUAAUACGUAGGGUGCAAGCGUUAAUCGGAAUUACUGGGCGUAAAGCGUGCGCAGGCGGUUUGCUAAGACCGAUGUGAAAUCCCCGGGCUCAACCUGGGAACUGCAUUGGUGACUGGCAGGCUAGAGUAUGGCAGAGGGGGGUAGAAUUCCACGUGUAGCAGUGAAAUGCGUAGAGAUGUGGAGGAAUACCGAUGGCGAAGGCAGCCCCCUGGGCCAAUACUGACGCUCAUGCACGAAAGCGUGGGGAGCAAACAGGAUUAGAUACCCUGGUAGUCCACGCCCUAAACGAUGUCAACUAGUUGUUGGGGUCUUCGGACCUUGGUAGCGCAGCUAACGCGUGAAGUUGACCGCCUGGGGAGUACGGUCGCAAGAUUAAAACUUAAAUGAAUUGACGGGGUCAUAGCUGUUU